AAGGAUCAUUAAUAAAACUGGAAUACACAGUUCUUAAACCCACUCCGAGUAUGUGUACUUGUUGCUUCCGUGGGCAGUGAACCAUGUGUUUUGCGCCCACCCAUGUGGUGGACCCACGGGAGACAUGAUUAAACCCAGCAUUCCGUAGUCCCAGUCUGAUUAUGUUUAUCGAAUAAACCUUAAAACUUUCAACGACGGAUCUCUUGGUUCUC
Molecule: unclassified non-coding RNA, 212 nt
Filed under: uncultured fungus
Lineage: Eukaryota; Fungi
Description: partial contains 18S rRNA, ITS1, 5.8S rRNA, ITS2 and 28S rRNA
Source: RNAcentral